GGUGCACCAGGGAGAACUGGUGCUGGUUUUAACUUUUACACAUCCUGCGUCCGUCCCGCGGAAGAAAACCUCUCCUGAAUCACACCAGGUGAAACUCCCUGAAACCCCAGCGGAGCUAACAGCGACCGUACCCGGCUGCCGGAGGUCUUCUUCUGCUGACUCUGCCGGCUCUUCCUCCCCGCUGGUUGUUUCCUCUUCGCAGCGUUGACGGAACCGCAGUCUGCUCCUUCUGCCAUGACACCCGCCUGACUUCACCUCUAAUAAAGUUACCCAGAGAGAUAAGACGGCACGGCUACAAACCGAGCCCAAACACCGGGCCGCCAGGGAGCGGAAGUCACACAGAGACAUGGACAAUGAAGUGGUUCGGAGAGGAAGAGGAAGAGGAGGCGGAAGAACGCGGCGGGUGAAGUUAAAAUCUCAAAGCCCGAAGAGAAAGAUGUUUUUCAAAAGCCUGGAAAACAGUGUUCAGGGUUUGUGCGAUUUACUGAGAACAGGAGAGGAAAACAGAGACAUUUAAAAGAAAAAAACUGCCAGAAUUAAAGAUCGUUCACAUCCAACAUUUGGACCCGAACAGUCUCUAACACCAACACUGAGUUUCAGUCUCCGAAGACACGUACCGCCCGUGAGUACUGUUAGUUAUUGUCUUCUCCGUCGAGCAUAUCGGACAGAAAAAAAUAAAGUCCUCAGUUGAAAUCAACACAUUGAAGGAGAAAUGUUUGCUUGAGUUUUUCUGGCCCACUGGGUUUUAUUCGUCCUCAUAAUGUCCGGGUUUCACACAGGAAACCUCCCUGCCGCUCUCUGCCUCCAAUGGUGCGAAGUAACCAAGUACAUCUACUCUGCUGUUGUACUUCAGAGCUAUUUUCAGUUACUCGCUUUUCGCCUCUGAGAGCUCGGCCGUGUUUUCACAGUUCGCUGAAAGAUGAAAAUAUGAACUUCAAGUCUGAAGACGUCAAACAGGCUGUCAACAGUCUGAAUCACAGACUAAACCACCAGUCUAUUCUGGUCUGCUCUACAGAGAAAUGUGAGGAAACAGCCCCAUCUACGGGCCACGGAGCCACAGCACAGCUGAAUAUGUUGCUGUGG
This is a long non-coding RNA of Xiphias gladius (swordfish), 1083 nucleotides long. RefSeq lists it as uncharacterized. The transcript is spliced from 3 exons. NCBI's taxonomy places the organism in Eukaryota, Metazoa, Chordata, Actinopteri, Istiophoriformes, Xiphiidae. The record is from RefSeq and is a predicted model, not a curated record.